GACGGGACGCAUGACAUGGCCACAGAGGCAGACCCUCUGGAGUGAGAGCCGGACUCGUGAGUAAUGCGUGACGAUCUGGCCUUAGGAGGGGGACAACAGUUGGAAACGACUGCUAAUACCCCAUAUGCCGAGAGGUGAAAGGGUUAAAACUGCCUGAGGAUGAACUCGCGUCUGAUUAGCUAGUUGGUUGGGUAAUGGCUGACCAAGGCGACGAUCAGUAGCUGGUCUAAGAGGAUGAUCAGCCACACUGGGACUGAGACACGGCCCAGACUCCUACGGGAGGCAGCAGUGGGGAAUUUUCCGCAAUGGGCGAAAGCCUGACGGAGCAACGCCCGCGUGAGGGAGGAAGGCCUUUAGGGUUGUAAACCUCUUUUUCUCUGGGAAGAAGAUCUGACGGUACCAGAGGAAUAAGCCUCGGCUAACUCCGUGCCAGCAGCCGCGGUAAGACGGAGGAGGCAAGCGUUAUCCGGCAAUUAUUGGGCGUAAAGCGUCCGCAGGCGGUUUAUCAAGUCUGCUGUCAAAUACCACAGCUUAACUGUGGGCAGGCAGUGGAAACUGAUGAACUAGAGAGCGGUAGGGGUAGAGGGAAUUCCCGGUGUAGCGGUGAAAUGCGUAGAUAUCGGGAAGAACACCAGUGGCGAAGGCGCUCUACUGGGCCGUUACUGACGCUGAGGGACGAAAGCUAGGGGAGCGAAAGGGAUUAGAUACCCCUGUAGUCCUAGCUGUAAACGAUGGAUACUAGGUGUUGGGCGUAUCGACCCGUCCAGUACCGUAGCUAACGCGUUAAGUAUCCCGCCUGGGGAGUACGCACGCAAGUGUGAAACUCAAAGGAAUUGACGGGGGCCCGCACAAGCGGUGGAGGAUGUGGUUUAAUUCGAUGCAACGCGAAGAACCUUACCAAGGCUUGACAUCCUGCGAAUCCUUCAGAGAUGAAGGAGUGCCUUCGGGAGCGCAGAGACAGGUGGUGCAUGGCUGUCGUCAGCUCGUGUCGUGAGAUGUUGGGUUAAGUCCCGCAACGAGCGCAACCCUCGUUCUUAGUUGCCAGCAUUAAGUUGGGCACUCUGGGGAGACUGCCGUGGACAACACGGAGGAAGGUGGGGACGACGUCAAGUCAUCAUGCCCCUUACGUCUUUUGGGCUACACACGUCCUACAAUGCUACAGACAGAGGGCAGCGAGCGCGCGAGUGCAAGCAAAUCCCAUAAACUGUGGCACAGUUCAGAUUGCAGGCUGCAACUCGCCUGCAUGAAGGCGGAAUCGCUAGUAAUCGCCGGUCAGCAUACGGCGGUGAAUACGUUCCCGGGCCUUGCUACACACCCGGCCCGUCACACCAUGGGAGUUGGCCACGCGCCGAAGUCGUUACUCUAACCUUAGGGAGGAGGGCGCCGAAGGCAGGGCUGAUGACUGGGGUGAAGUCGUAACAAGGUAGCCGUACCGGAAGGUGUGGCUGGAUCACCUCCUUUUAGGGAGACCUACUUUUAACCGUCCCGAAAUUUUAUAGAGGGAGGUUAAGGAGUCACCCUUAGGUCGAGGGAGCUUUGGGGAUGUUUCUAGACUAGGUUGAGGUGAGUGGGGGCUAUUAGCUCAGGUGGUUAGAGCGCACCCCUGAUAAGGGUGAGGUCCCUGGUUCGAGUCCAGGAUGGCCCACUAUGUGGGGGUUUAGCUCAGCUGGUAGAGCGCCUGCUUUGCAAGCAGGAUGUCAGCGGUUCGAGUCCGCUAACCUCCAGUGAGAGGAUCAUUUAGCAGCAUGUGUCGAGAGGACAUAGGUUGCUGAGUGAGAGCUCAGCGAAGGACCUUGAUAAUAGAAUAGUGAGAGAAGUGUAAGGUAGUUGUACACAGAAAUGAAGACGCUAGGGCGACGAGUAGGUCUAGGCGAUUAGCCUAGGGGUUAUUGGGUCAAGCUAGAAACGGGGCUCACGGGUGGGAUACCUAGGCACACAGAGGGCGAGAGAACUUGGGGCCCACGGAGGGGGCGAUGAGGGUGGAAKGCKGGAGUCACGUUUCAUCAUGGUCAAGGUGUGAUGGGAUGAGAUGUUCAGCGAAGAACCUUGACAACUGCAUAGGUGAGUCUGGAAAGAAAGCAUCUCAUGGAUGCCAAUUGCUCAGCGCUGAUCAGUCUGGGAGACCAGGUUGAUGGCAAUGGGGAAUUGGAGAUUCUAUGACGUUAAGAGCCGAGACUUUCCAGUGUUCUUCCAAGGAAUGGCCAAUCCAGCCAGACUGCGGGAGUUUGAUUCUGUGAUUCAAACCACAGGCGACUGAUGCAAUGCCCUUAGGGACGAGCAAGUAGUGGCGAGCAGGUGAAUGCAGGAGAAGCGGCCACAACAGCCGUAAGACAUUGGAGGAUAUUGUCAGCUACAAGGGCUCACGG
RNAcentral lists this ribosomal RNA (2366 nucleotides) under Romeria sp. KLL-H-201. RNAcentral's name for it is "bacterial SSU rRNA". The stretch from base 1 to 1461 matches the Rfam family "Bacterial small subunit ribosomal RNA". The record is from RNAcentral. Lineage: Bacteria; Bacillati; Cyanobacteriota; Cyanophyceae; Nodosilineales; Romeriaceae.